This is a long non-coding RNA of Cotesia glomerata, 1983 nucleotides long. RefSeq lists it as uncharacterized. The record is from RefSeq and is a predicted model, not a curated record. The transcript is spliced from 3 exons. Lineage: Eukaryota; Metazoa; Arthropoda; Insecta; Hymenoptera; Braconidae.
AUACGCCACGACAUGUAACGAAUUAUUUUUUAUUUAAAAUGUAAAUGUUGAUGAUGUACGAUGAAUCAUGUAAGAUGUUUUCGUAAAAGGUAUGAUGAUUUAACGUCAAGAGUUCAUCAACUAUUGAAACAAGUAUUGUACUUGCGUUGUGUAGGAUGUUAAUUACACAAAACAAUCUUUUUUUACUCGUUCAAAUGAGAAUAAAAGUGAAAAUAUAAAUACCAUUAUUUUAACACGUAAACUUUGAUCACUGAAGCAAAACAGAGAAGACUAAGAAGAAUAAGAGUGACAACCAAACGUGAGUAAGCUAAACCACAAAUUGGUUACUCCACCGAGUACGGUGAUUCAUUUUCACAUGGGUAUUAUUGUACACCUUUUUGUAAAUUUUGUUUGGAAGAAAAAGUGAUGAAUCGCUUGAUACUGCUGCUGAACUCUUCUGUUCGUACAUGAGCCAUAAAGUACACGUAAUGUCAUUUGAGCCUACGCUGGUAGCAUUUUAAAUGAAAGGUCGUCGCAAUAUAAUAUAUAUAUAUGUAUUUAACAUUCAGCAUUUAUGUAUUGCAGUUGCCAGUCAGGAGUGAAAUAUCAAUGUAUGCCAACCAUGGAUCAACUAUCGAUAAAUAUUUUCACUUAAGAGAUUAAUAACUACUAGUAAAUAGCUAGUUAAAUAAAAAUUAGGUAUCGGCAUCGACUGUCACCGGAAGUUAAGAGAAAGUGAGUGAUGAAAUUAUUGGACGGUAACAUCGGAUCCAAUUGUCGUGACAAUUAUAUAACAUUUAAAGACAAUAUAAUAGACUAACUGUGUCAUUCUUAAAGUUAACUUGUCUUCCUGAGUUGCAAAUAGACGGGGAAAACAAUUAGGCUAUUAAAAUAAUUAACAUGUCUUCAGCCAGCAGUCUAAUUAUAUUUUACGUCGCGUUUUUUAUUUUAACUAUUUUUUUUUUUUUUUUAUUUUUUUUUAUUUUAUUGUUGCAGAAUUCUGUAGCAGAUAAACCGAGUUAGAAUAUUCUCAACAUUCUUUAAUUACGUAUGGACUUAAAAGGGAAAAAAUGAUCGGGGAUGCCGAUCGCUGACCCAUAAAAGUAUGUAACACACCUACUAUUAUACUUGAGAAGUAAACGGAAAACAUUUAAACGAGAAUAUAUUUGAAUAUCAUGUACAACACCACGGUGCGAUAUAUAUUUAUUGACGUAUAACUAUGGUUGUAUGCAGUGAGCCCAAGGCAGUUUUAAUUCAUUUUAGAUUAGACGUGAGUAAACGCUAAAAGCUUUAACGAUUAGAUCGUUCUAGGAUGAUAAGUGAUAUUUAAGUUACAGCUGAUAAUAAUAAUAAUGAUAAUUAAAUAAUGUUUGAGGAGUUUAUCGAAAGUAAACAAUUGUUUAUUGCCAGCUUAGGAUUUCUUUCUUGAUAAGGGAUGUGCUUUUGAUUGGCAGUAACCUUGAGGUCUUCAAGGCUAGUAAGUCCUCAGUUGCAGUUAAAGAAAGAUCUUCCGGAUAUAAAAGAAAGUUGGACGUGGACUUGGAUGGUUAUUGUUAUUAUCCACGCUGCAUAUUUGUAUACUGUACGGGUCGGUGCAACCAAUGUGUACUGCUCUAUGCAUUAUAGACGCUGACUUUCUAUUAGGCGACCGCGAUUGGUAGGAUUUCACUCCCACUUACGAGACAUUAUUAAAUCGGAUCCGAGGCUCCAAAUCGGUCACUUAUUCAGGUGCGUAUGGAUUAAAACUAUUUUAUUUUUUUUAUCGUCUUACCUGGGGUUUUUUUUUUCAGCCCAAUCACUCACAUUUUUUUCCAACCCUGAAUUUUUAUUAUUUUUUAAAUCUUCGUCAGUCGCUGAAGCAUUCUAUUAAUAUUUUUUAUCUUAACAAGUUAAUUAAACUUUGACAAAUAUUACCUAAGCGUUGAUUAAGACAUUUAAUAAUUAAAAAAAAAUAUUUUACAUUGAUGAAAAGCUGAGGCGUAGAUUAAAAAUAAAUAAUGAAGA